AACUGCAGAUAGUACAGCCUUCACAGCAGCCAAGGAUGCCUGGGCACAAGUGCCUGAGUUCCGAGGGACUUUGGGAAACACUUUGCUAACUCUCUCCUGCCUGGAAACCAGGAUUCUGCACCUGCCUGAUGGACAGUCUGGCCAGAGCCUCGGCCGUGCCCCCGGGGACAAGGAACUAGCACAAAUAACCGUUUGGAAAUUGGAUCGUGGCAAAAUUACCAAUAAGUCCAUAAAGGAAACUGAAGGCAGUUUGAUCUACACCUUCAAUAACAGUCCCACAAAAGUUGAAGAAAUAUGUUAUGUCUCCAAAGACACAUACUCCAAAGAGCAUAGUUAUACCCUAAAAUUAGGACGUGAUUCAGCCUUGACAUCUGGAAACGCACUGCUACAGGAGCAGCUGGCAUUCCUGUCCUACAGCAGGAAGUUAACUACGCAUUCCAAAGAGCCCCGAUUGUUUUGAUAUUUUCUGGCAGCUCAAGAAGCUUGGAUCUUGGAGAACAGCUCUUCUGUACCAACCACAUUUGGAACCAUACACAAAAGCAUAACUUGUCACAACC
Molecule: long non-coding RNA, 557 nt
Organism: Balaenoptera ricei (Rice's whale)
Lineage: Eukaryota; Metazoa; Chordata; Mammalia; Artiodactyla; Balaenopteridae
Exons: 3
Source: RefSeq, a predicted model, not a curated record